GCUGAUGUAGCUCAGAUGGCUAGAGCAUACGGCUCAUAACCGUAGUGUCCGGGGUUCGAUUCCCUGCAUCAGCACCA
This 77-nucleotide transfer RNA is filed under the name Deltaproteobacteria bacterium. Its description in RNAcentral is "tRNA-Met". It matches the Rfam family "tRNA". Rfam says of the family: Transfer RNA (tRNA) molecules are approximately 80 nucleotides in length. Their secondary structure includes four short double-helical elements and three loops (D, anti-codon, and T loops). Further hydrogen bonds mediate the characteristic L-shaped molecular structure. tRNAs have two regions of fundamental functional importance: the anti-codon, which is responsible for specific mRNA codon recognition, and the 3' end, to which the tRNAs corresponding amino acid is attached (by aminoacyl-tRNA synthetases). tRNAs cope with the degeneracy of the genetic code in two manners: having more than one tRNA (with a specific anti-codon) for a particular amino acid; and 'wobble' base-pairing, i.e. permitting non-standard base-pairing at the 3rd anti-codon position. RNAcentral also lists the same sequence under 1 other name. Lineage: Bacteria; Pseudomonadati; Myxococcota; Myxococcia. The record is from RNAcentral.